CGCGGGGUGGAGCAGACAGGUAGCUCGCAAGGCUCAUAACCUUGAGGUCACAGGUUCAAAUCCUGUCCCCGCAA
This 74-nucleotide transfer RNA is filed under the name Candidatus Omnitrophota bacterium. RNAcentral's name for it is "tRNA-Met". It matches the Rfam family "tRNA". Rfam says of the family: Transfer RNA (tRNA) molecules are approximately 80 nucleotides in length. Their secondary structure includes four short double-helical elements and three loops (D, anti-codon, and T loops). The record is from RNAcentral. Lineage: Bacteria; Pseudomonadati; Candidatus Omnitrophota.